ACAAUAAACUAACGAAACAAGCAGACCCCACCCUUACCUCCUCUCCUCGUCUCCGCCACUUCCCCCUUCCCUCCCUCCCGCCCCCACCAAAUCUGGGAGUUCCCAGACGCCAUUGCCCACCUUUUUCNNNGAGCACAAGGAAAGCACGCCAGCAAGAGAAGGAGCAGCAGAGGCUGCACGGCAGAAUUACCGUGAGCAAUUCGGAAGCCGCGCCGGAGCCCGGUCGAAUCGGGCCGCGGCGAGGGGAAAUGUCCGGCUUCGUCGGGGUCGUCGUCUCCGACCCCUCCCUGCAGGGCCAGUUCACGCAGGUGGAGCUCCGAUCGCUCAAGGCCAAGUUCGUGUCUCUGAAGAGGGACUCCGGCCAUGUCACCACCAAGAACCUCCCGGGGCUGAUGAAGAAGCUCAGGGGACUUCACGAAGUGGUCCCUGAGGAGGAGAUCGCCGCCUUCUUGUCGGAGUCGUACCCUGACAGCGACCAGGAGAUUGAGUUCGAGUCCUUCCUCCGGGAGUACCUGAAUCUGCAAGCAAGGGUGAGCGCCAAGGAAGGAAGCGCCGCUGCCGGCGGCGGCGGGGCUGGCGGCCGCAAGAACUCGUCGUCGUUCCUCAAAUCCACCAUCACUACGCUGCUGCACAAUCUCAACCAGGCGGAGAAGUCUUCUUACGUGGCGCAUAUUAACACUUACCUUGGUGAAGACCCAUUCUUGAAGAAGUACUUGCCAAUCGACCCAUCCGGCAACCAGCUAUUCGAUCUUAUUCGGGAUGGUGUCCUGCUCUGUAAGUUGAUCAAUGUAGCUGUACCUGGGACCAUUGAUGAGAGAGCAAUAAAUAAGAAAAGAGUUCUUAACCCAUGGGAGAGGAAUGAAAACCACACACUGUGCCUCAACUCUGCAAAGGCCAUUGGAUGUACUGUUGUCAACAUUGGCACCCAGGAUUUAGUGGAAGGAAGGCCUCAUUUAGUUCUUGGAUUGAUAUCUCAAAUCAUAAAGAUUCAACUUUUGGCUGAUCUUAAUCUUAAGAAGACACCCCAGCUUGUGGAAUUGUUUGAUGACAGUAAGGAUAUAGAUGAAGUGUUGAGCUUGUCACCAGAAAAGAUGCUGCUUCGAUGGAUGAACCAUCAUCUGAAAAAGGCUGGCUACAAGAAAACUGUCAACAAUUUCUCUUCGGAUGUGAAGGAUGGUGAAGCCUAUGCUUAUCUUCUAAAAGCUCUUGCUCCAGAGACUUCCCCUGAAACCACACUGGUGACCAAGGAUCCUGAUGAAAGGGCAAAAAUGGUACUUGAACAAGCAGAGAAGUUGGACUGCAAAAGAUACCUUACACCAAAGGAUAUCACUGAGGGUUCUGCCAACUUGAAUCUUGCAUUUGUUGCACAAAUAUUCCAGCAUCGGAAUGGUCUAACUAGUGACAUUAAACAAGUUACACUCACACAGACAGCAUCACGUGAUGAUGUUCUAGUAUCCAGAGAAGAAAGGGCCUUCCGAAUGUGGAUCAACAGCCUUGGGGUCGAGUCAUACGUGAAUAAUGUUUUUGAAGAUGUUCGCAAUGGAUGGGUACUUCUUGAAGUACUUGACAAAGUUUCUCCUGGAUCUGUCAAUUGGAAGUUGGCAUCAAAACCUCCAAUUAAGUUGCCAUUUAGGAAACUGGAGAACUGCAAUCAAGUUGUAAAAAUUGGGAAGGAGUUAAAGUUUUCAUUAGUAAAUUUAGCUGGGAAUGAUAUUGUUCAGGGAAAUAAGAAAUUGAUAGUUGCACUUCUGUGGCAAUUGAUGAGAUUUAAUAUCCUUCAAUUGCUAAACAGACUGAGAUCCCACUCCAAAGGAUCCCAAGGAAAGCAAAUUACUGAUGCAGAUAUACUGAACUGGGCAAACAGCAAAGUGAAAGCAUCAGGAAGAACAUCUCGAAUGGAAAGCUUCAAGGAUAAGAGUUUAUCAAAUGGAGUGUUCUUCCUCGAACUUCUUAGUGCAGUUCAGCCAAGGGUUGUGAACUGGAAAGUAGUUACAAAGGGAGAAGCUGACGAGGAAAAGAAGCUAAAUGCUACCUACAUCAUUAGUGUUGCAAGAAAGCUCGGAUGUUCUGUGUUUCUACUGCCAGAGGACAUUAUAGAGGUGAACCAGAAGAUGAUCCUAACUCUUACAGCUAGCAUCAUGUAUUGGAGCCUGCUGAGACAACCACAGCCUGAAAUAUCUGAAGCAUCAGAGCCAUCUAGCAUGGCUUCGGACGCAACUUCUGACAUUGGCUCGGAGGAUGGUGCCUCAACAGCAGCACCGUCCGAGAGCGAAGAGGCAAACUCACUGUCCGAUAGUCUAUCCACCCUGACCACAGACGACGCCACCUCAAAUGCUCCAGCUGCAGAAAACGGGAGCGACACCACCUCGAAUGCUCCAGCUGCAGAAAACGGGACCGGCGCCACCCCAGAUGCUCCACCUGCAGAAAACGGGAACAACGCCACCCCAGAUGCUCCACCUGCAGAAAACGGGAACGACGCCACAUGAUCCUGAUGGUUAUAUUUUCAUCCGUAGCACUGUCCAUCAAUUAGCUUUAUAUACAAGGGUUGGUACCAAAAGUUGCUGCUGCUACCAGAAGUGAUUUUUUCUCUUUUCAGGUAGCAUAAUAGGUACACACCAUCAUACAGAUAGAUCGUAGCCGCCGUUUGUUCAUUAAGUUAAAUUUUGCUGAAUAGUAAGUACUAUACGGGAGAAAGAGAGAGAAAUACAGACACAUACAUAUAGUAGGCCGCCGGUUGGUUUGGUUGGCUGGCCAUUUCCUGUACACUCUUUAGUGCACAGCUCCAUUGCUCAACUCGUGCCUUGUCGGUCCGUCCAUGUGCUCCGUAUUUUUUUUCCUUCCAGUUUGCUGUACUGCUUGGACCAUUAUCGUUUUUGUACCAAACUGUCGUCGCUGCUGUGGAGUGUGGACCAUGCAUGGUGAGCUGUACAUAAACAUGUUGAUUUCUGGCAUGCCAAGGUAUCGUUGUACACAUUAUGGUAGCACAGUAGUACUCCCUCUUUAAACUAAUAUUAGAGCUUUUAGACUACUAAGACUAGCCAUAGUGGAGUAACUUCGAUAGUAACAUCGAGUCUAACU
RNAcentral lists this ribosomal RNA (3078 nucleotides) under Triticum aestivum (bread wheat). Its description in RNAcentral is "partial small subunit ribosomal RNA". Lineage: Eukaryota; Viridiplantae; Streptophyta; Magnoliopsida; Poales; Poaceae. The record is from RNAcentral.